RNAcentral lists this ribosomal RNA (496 nucleotides) under uncultured bacterium. Its description in RNAcentral is "partial 16S ribosomal RNA". It matches the Rfam family "Bacterial small subunit ribosomal RNA", at positions 29 to 507 of the family's 1533-position model. The record is from RNAcentral.
AUGAACGCUGGCGGCGUGCCUAAUACAUGCAAGUCGAGCGAACAGACGAGGAGCUUGCUCCUCUGGCGUUAGCGGCGGACGGGUGAGUAACACGUGGAUAACCUACCUAUAAGACUGGGAUAACUUCGGGAAACCGGAGCUAAUACCGGAUAAUAUAUUGAACCGCAUGGUUCAAUAGUGAAAGACGGUUUUGCUGUCACUUAUAGAUGGAUCCGCGCCGCAUUAGCUAGUUGGUAAGGUAACGGCUUACCAAGGCGACGAUGCGUAGCCGGCCUGAGAGGGUGAUCGGCCACACUGGAACUGAGACACGGUCCAGACUCCUACGGGAGGCAGCAGUAGGGAAUCUUCCGCAAUGGGCGAAAGCCUGACGGAGCAACGCCGCGUGAGUGAUGAAGGUCUUCGGAUCGUAAAACUCUGUUAUUAGGGAAGAACAAAUGUGUAAGUAACUAUGCACGUCUUGACGGUACCUAAUCAGAAAGCCACGGCUAACUACGUG